AGCAGCCGCGGUAAUACCGGCGGCUCGAGCGGUGGCCACUUUAUUGGGCUUAAAGCGUUCGUAGCUGGGUUAUUAAGUCCCUUGGGAAAUCCGACAGCUUAACUGUCGGGCGUCUAAGAGAUACUGGUAAUCUUGGAACCGGGAGAGGUGAGGGGUACUUCGGGGGUAGGAGUGAAAUCCUGUAAUCCUCGAGGGACCACCUGUGGCGAAGGCGCCUCACCAGAACGGCUUCGACAGUGAGGGACGAAAGCUGGGGGAGCAAACCGGAUUAGAUACCCGGGUAGUCCCAGCCGUAAACGAUGUGCGUUAGGUGUAUCGGUGACCACGAGUCACCGAGGUGCCGAAGGGAAACCGUGAAACGUACCGCCUGGGAAGUACGGUCGCAAGGCUGAAACUUAAAGGAAUUGGCGGGGGAGCACCACAACAGGUGGAGCCUGCGGUUUUAAAUUGGACUCAACGCCGGAAAUCUCACCGGAUAAGACAGCAGAAUGAUUGCCGGGCUGAAGACUCUGCAUGACUAGCUGAGUAGUGGUGCAUGG
RNAcentral lists this ribosomal RNA (539 nucleotides) under uncultured archaeon. RNAcentral's name for it is "bacterial SSU rRNA". It matches the Rfam family "Archaeal small subunit ribosomal RNA", at positions 460 to 997 of the family's 1478-position model. The record is from RNAcentral.